This 1541-nucleotide long non-coding RNA is filed under the name Nicotiana tabacum (common tobacco). RNAcentral describes it as "long non-coding RNA (NTAB_LNC008296)". Lineage: Eukaryota; Viridiplantae; Streptophyta; Magnoliopsida; Solanales; Solanaceae. The record is from RNAcentral.
CCUAAAUAUACACACACCUAAAAACCUUACGGAAUCCGUCGUUCAGCAGAAAAGACCCCACCCCCUAGAUUUUUGUCUUCCUCGCACCCCAUCCCCAAUUCUCUGAAGAACAAAAACCUCUCCUCUUUACAUAUCAAGAGAUCCCCUCACCCCCUAUAAUUUCCCUUAAGCUUCAACGACGGAGACUUCUGAUCUUCAUCCUCACAUUCUACGAGAAAUCAGCCGCAACACACACACAAAGCCAUCAUUGUCUCCUUCAUUAGAGCAUCUUGAAAACUCUAUCUUCACAGCCAUGUAGAAGCUCCAAGACCUCACCUAAAAUCAUCCCCAAAACUCCAUGAAAACACUAUAAAAAUAAAAAUAAAAACCCAGCUCAAAUUCUGCCCAAAACAUCGCACAAAUACUGCAGCUCCAAGGUUGAGUUCGAGUCCGCUGGCGAGUUUAGGUUCGAGCGAGCUUCGGUCUUGGUUCGUGAGUCCCGAACAAGUUUUGUUGAUAUGAUUGAUUUAGAAACUUUGUACUGAUUUGAACAUAGGGAAAUAGAUUGGUUGUUGAUCUCCCCGGUCAUAAUUGCUGGUAAUUCUUUUUCCAUUCUUAUGCUUUUGCUAACUUGUAAUUAGGCCUAUCUUAUCCUUUUAUUUUGUGUUGUUACGCUUUUUUUUUUAUAUUUUUCUUGAAAUGGGUAUUGGCCGAUUCUAAGAUUGCCUUUGAAAUUGAGUUGUAGAGAUGAAUUUGGGUAAAGGGAAAUUAAAAGAUUGUAUCUCUUUAAGUAAUCAUUUUGGGUGCCGUUGAUUUGGGUUCUUUGAUAGAUAGUUAAGAAUGAAAUUUUUUAAGUAUGAUGAUAGUUCAAUUUUAAAGGGGAUAGCUUUCUGUAAUGGCAUUUAGCAUCUUCAUUAUGGCUAAAAGGUGCAACUUUUUGGAUAUAGUACUUAUAAGAAAGAAUUGCAGAAUGCAACAAAAGUUGGAACUUUUUAUGCACCUGUUUUAUGGUUGGUAGAUCUUGUUAUCUGGUUGGGUUGUUACAACUGAAAUAGUUAAUUGGGGCAUCAAGCUAGUCACUUUAUAGUUUUGACAAUCUAGGUGUUUUUGGUUAGAUGUAGUUUGGAGGACUGCUUAUGAUUUAGAGGUAGCUUAAUUACUUAAAUUUUUGCAGGGAGAACUUGGGUAAGAAGAGAAAGGGAGUAGAUAUUUCAGUUACUUGUCAAAAAAAUGCGAGUCCAUUCACAGUAGUCAGGUCACAUUUAUCGCUUGAGGAUUACUCGCGAAGGAAAAAGAAAUCUAUGUCAUUGAAAAUUCUAGCUGUUGUAGGAAGAGUGUAAUCAUAGGAAUAGUCACUUCCCCGCCUUGUGGGAGUGCACGUUCAUGGUCACCUGAACGAGGUCUUAAAAGGAAAAUAGGUUUCCUUGAUUCAGCCAUUCGUAGCUUUCUUUAGGCACAACUUAAUCUAUUAUCGUGAUUGUGUACACGUUCGCGUAGUAUGAUUAUGAUCCUAAUAAAUAAAUCGAGGUAUGUGUUUGCGCAACUUUGACCAAACUUUCUUA